GUAGCUGACUGAGCUGAUAGCUGACGGAGCUGAUAGCUGACUGAGCUGGUAGCUGACGGAGCUGAUAGCCGACAGAGCUGAUAACUGACAGAGCUGUAGUAGGAUGAGAUGAGAGAGGAUGGAACACAUGGACAGCCCCGCCUCCCAAAGCAGCGACCCCAACGGGUUCGUCAAUAAAGUCUUCAAAGUGUCUCUGGAUGUGCAGAAUGAAACUGGCACCGUAUCUAUCCAGGAGACUGGGAAGGGAGAGGGUCAUGGAGAAGGUCCGGGGCCAGGCCAAGCCCAGAGAGAGUGGCAGGAGGCUGGGGAUAGACAGGCAGACACCCAGGCACCCCCUCAGACACCUGGAAAGGAGCGCCCGGAGGUCAACCGUAGAACAAGAGCGACUGGGGGCAUCUGGAAGAUCUUGACCCGGCGUAGAGUGGCCUCAGAGCUGGAUAACAGAAGACCUCACUCCAUGAUCCUCCCUGGAGAGGAGGCGUUCAUCCCUAAACUGUCCUUUGCUGACAAGGUCCGCUCCAUCAAGAAGCUCCGCUCUCCGGGUGUCUUCAAGGGGAGGGUGGGUAAGAUGUCUGGGUCCAGCACUAAGUUCAGAGAUGGAGAGACGGAGGACGACUCGUUCUGCCGGGACUUCCUCCCCUCGCCCGGCCUGCACCCCUGUAGGAGCACACUCCGCCACCGUGCAAAGAGGCAUUCAUAUGCCGGACACACCGCCGAGUUCGACUGCUCAUUUGAGGACAUGGAUCUGACAGCUACCCUGAACAGACACCAUCUUCACUCACUAGUGGAGCCUCUUACCCAGAACGGCUCUAAGCCCACAGAGAGAAUCUCCUGCUCCAAGAGACCUCAGGUCCAGGCGCAGGCGCAGGCCAACCAAUCCUCUAACUGUAACAGUACAUCAGCAGGAGUGUGUGAGGAGCAGAGUGUGAGGGGCGGCCCCAAGGUCCCGCUGGGUGGGAGGAGAUCUAAGAGAGCUGACGUGUGGAGUUACCUGAGGAGGAUCUCUGUCCUGGGGAAGGGGAACCCGGCCUACUCAGAGAGGAGUUUUGACUCAGAGCUCCACACACUGGACAAGACCAUGGACUCUGACUACGGCUCGGUGGACUUCGAGAGCGUCAGGGACUUUCAACCAGCGGCUCCAAAGCACUCUGACAGCAAAGGCGGACAUUUUGGGGGUCUGAUUAAGUUCUUCAGCAAUGUUGCGGAGACGGCUAGAAAAUGGCGGACAUCUUCUCGCUCCUUCUCUCCUCCAGAGGAGGGAGGGGAGCGGUCGCUGCUGGGCUCCCCCAGAGCAGGGCAGCAUCUGGGGGACUACGUCCACAGUGUGUCCCUGACCCUCCGCAGUGAAGACCACCCAGAGUGUCCCCCAACACCCACCUCACCCCUGACCCCUCACUCCCCUCGCUCCCCUCCCUGUGACCCUGCCUCACCCCCUCCUCUAAUAGGCAGACGGUCUCCUCAGGUGAUGCUGAAGGCCUGGAGGGUGAGUCCGGACUCAUCAAGCGUUAACGGCCUGGUGUGUGUGAGCUCAUUGGAGACGGACAGACAGAUGGACAGACAGACAGAGAGACAGACACGGCACACGUCUGUAGCCACAGUAGAGAAUCACGAGCCACACUCAAGGCUGGAGAGAGAGACUCAGAAAGAGAGAGAGACAGAGGUAGACAGAGAUCCCUUAGAAUGUCUGUCUACAGUGGAAGAGAGAGAAAGCGAGGGAGGGGGGGGAGGAGAGGGACACUCAGGAAAUUACCUGGAUUCCAAGGAUGCUCUAACUGUCUCGGAGCAGACACACCUUCCAAACGGCCAAUCAGAGUUACGGGAAGGAGAGUUCGUAGCCACUAGGGAACCAGCAGGAAACUGCCACCUAGAAGUAUUUAAGGCCCUGUCUCGUCCCCUGGGGGCGUCACCUUUAGAGCCCCCCCUCAGAGUGUCUCUUCAGAGAUGUCACUCCCUCCCUCUCCCCCCCAGCCCCAUCACCACUCUGGCCCUGUUCCCGGGACACACAGCAGACCCCCAGUCAUCCUCAGCGUGUCUUGGUGUUGGAGAGGCUGGCAGCUGCUGGAGGAGACUGCUCAGAACAGGCUCUGGUCCACUUCAAGUCAACAUCUUGAUAAGUGGAGGAUCUAUCGUCAGCGCUGAGGCAGUAUGGGACCAUGUGACCAUGGCCGACCGAGAGUUGGCGUUUAAGGCAGGUGAUGUCAUCAAGGUGCUGGACGCGUCCAAUAAGGACUGGUGGUGGGGUCAGAUCGACGAGGAGGAGGGCUGGUUCCCCGCCAGCUUCGUACGGGUCGAACCCCACCCUCCUCAACCCCAAACAAAACAGCUUUUCUAUAUCAACCCCAUAGCAACUCCUCGGUUCCAAAACACUACGUCUAAGCUGUGGGUGAACCAGGAGGAUGGGGUGGUGGAGCCUGUGGAGGGGACCAGUGAAAUGGCUAACGGUCACCUGGAUCCGACCAAUGACUGCUUGUGCCUGGGCUCGCCGCUUCAGAACCGUGACCAGAUGAGAGCCAACGUCAUCAAUGAGAUUAUGAGCACAGAGAGACACUACAUCAAACACCUCAAGGACAUCUGUGAGGGCUACCUGCGUCAGUGUAGGAAGAGAGUAGACAUGUUUAACGAUGACCAGCUGAGGGUGAUCUUUGGGAACAUCGAGGACAUCUACCGUUUCCAGAUGGGCUUCGUUAGAGACCUGGAGAAACAAUACAACAACGAGGAACCACACCUGUCUGAGAUAGGACCCUGCUUUCUAGAACAUCAAGACGGCUUCUGGAUCUACUCUGAGUACUGUAACAACCACCUGGACGCCUGCAUGGAGCUGUCCAAGCUGAUGAGAGACGGGAGGUACCAGCACUUCUUCGAGGCCUGUCGUCUGCUGCAGCAGAUGAUCGACAUCGCUAUCGACGGCUUCCUCCUCACACCCGUACAGAAGAUCUGCAAAUACCCCCUGCAGCUGGCUGAGCUGCUCAAAUACACUGCACAGGAGCACAGUGACUAUCGCUAUGUGGCGGCUGCGCUGGCAGUGAUGCGUAACGUCACUCAGCAGAUCAACGAGAGGAAGAGGAGGCUGGAGAACAUUGACAAGAUCGCCCAAUGGCAGGCCUCCGUCCUGGACUGGGAGGGUGAUGACAUCCUGGGCCGGAGCUCGGAGUUGAUCUAUACAGGGGAAAUGUCUUGGAUCUACCAGCCCUAUGGACGCAGUCAGCAACGUGUCUUCUUCCUCUUUGAUCACCAGCUGGUCCUCUGUAAGAAGGAUCUGAUUCGUAGGGACAUCCUGUACUAUAAGGGCCGUAUCGACAUGGACCGCUAUGACGUGCGGGACGCCAUCGACGGACGCGAUGACGACUUCAACGUGAGCGUGAAGAACGCGUUCAAAUUGCACAACAAAGACAGCGAGGAGCUCCACAUCUUCCUGUCCAAGAAACAGGAGGAGAAGAUGCGAUGGCUCCGGGCUUUCCACGAGGAGAGGAAGAUGGUGCAGGAGGAUGAGAAAAUCGGGUUUGAGAUCUCAGAGUACCAGAAACGUCAGGCAGCUCUGACUGUGAGGAAGGUAUCUAAGCAGAAAGGUGAGACAACACGAAGACACCAGAUUCAUUGUUAGAUAUCAUCUUCAGAAAGAGGGCCUUGUUUUAUGGACAUGGUUUGAAAAUGAUAAAGGUGUGAACAGAUGCGUGCCCCCUCCUACCCCCCUUCCCAGGACCCCCUACCCCUGGGACAGUAUGACCUAACAGAGGACUUGGCACAAGCAGAGGUUUUUGAAUUCAGUCAAUCAAAACGAGGCCAGUCUCUUUUCUGGCACGACAAUUCUACUAGAUUAACAACGUUUGAGAAAUAGAGAAACAGACUCUUUCCAAGGACCAUCUAUUUUUUUCUGAGAAACACUCAAACUAAAGUGUUUGAAAGGUUACAUCAUCGUCCUGUGAAGAAGAAUUGACGACGAAAAAAGAACCACUGAAGGAAGGACCAAUGAUAUUUCAUUGUGAGUUUCAUUGUGAGUUGUCACCCAGGAGACUGGAGAACUAUGGAUUCUAACUUCUUCACUUCAUUCUAACUGUUCUUAGUUCUGAGUUCCAAUGCUUCUCUACUCCAGUAGACACUACUGUUCCAUACUGAACUGUACUGUACAGGAAUAUACUACAACAUCCCUCAACCCCACCAUCGCCAUCUGAAUGUCCUGGAUUCAUGGAGAUCGCUUUUAUUUUGUUCUUUUCAGGCUCUGGCGUUUUUCCAUAUUUGAAGUAAGCAUAUUUAAUGUUCCUUUACCAGAACUAGUGAGUCCACCUACCUACAGUACAGUAAGACUGUGUAGAUGGCAGGUGUUGUGUUGAUGUGUGUGUCUGUGAGGAUUAUGUUGUUGUGAUUGUGGCCCGAGGUGCACUGUAAUAAUGAGGCUGAGGUGGCAUCCUAUUUCCUACAUAGUGGGGUAGGGUGUCACUUUGACUGACAGGAGAGCUGCUGGCUGGUUCUGAUGUUUCUCAGAAGUUCUGUUGUCAGCAUCACCUGUCCCAUCAAAGACUGGUCAGACCAUCUCUCUCUCUCUCUCUCUCUCUCUCUCUCUCUCUCUCUCUCUCUCUCUC
Oncorhynchus gorbuscha (pink salmon) is the source of this 4577-nucleotide RNA transcript. RefSeq lists it as uncharacterized. NCBI's taxonomy places the organism in Eukaryota, Metazoa, Chordata, Actinopteri, Salmoniformes, Salmonidae. The record is from RefSeq and is a predicted model, not a curated record. The transcript has 14 exons.